AUUGAACGCUGGCGGCAGGCCUAACACAUGCAAGUCGAGCGGAUGAAGGGAGCUUGCUCCUGGAUUCAGCGGCGGACGGGUGAGUAAUGCCUAGGAAUCUGCCUGGUAGUGGGGGAUAACGUCCGGAAACGGGCGCUAAUACCGCAUACGUCCUGAGGGAGAAAGUGGGGGAUCUUCGGACCUCACGCUAUCAGAUGAGCCUAGGUCGGAUUAGCUAGUUGGUGGGGUAAAGGCCUACCAAGGCGACGAUCCGCAACUGGUCUGAGAGGAUGAUCAGUCACACUGGAACUGAGACACGGUCCAGACUCCUACGGGAGGCAGCAGUGGGGAAUAUUGGACAAUGGGCGAAAGCCUGAUCCAGCCAUGCUGCGUGUGUGAAGAAGGUCUUCGGAUUGUAAAGCACUUUAAGUUGGGAGGAAGGGCAGUAAGUUAAUACCUUGCUGUUUUGACGUUACCAACAGAAUAAGCACCGGCUAACUUCGUG
RNAcentral lists this ribosomal RNA (484 nucleotides) under uncultured bacterium. RNAcentral describes it as "partial 16S ribosomal RNA". It matches the Rfam family "Bacterial small subunit ribosomal RNA", at positions 30 to 507 of the family's 1533-position model. The record is from RNAcentral.